Molecule: small nuclear RNA, 102 nt
Organism: Otolemur garnettii (small-eared galago)
Lineage: Eukaryota; Metazoa; Chordata; Mammalia; Primates; Galagidae
Source: Ensembl
GUGCUGGCUUCAGUGGCACAUCUACUAAAAUUGGAACUGUACAGAGGUUAGUGGCCCUUGUGCAAAGAUGACAAGUAAAUUCGUGAAGUGCUCCAGAUUUUA